AAAAGCUCGUAGUUGGAUUUCUGUUGAGGACGGCCGGUCUGCACUUUGUGCAUGUAUCUGGUUCGGCCUUGGCAUCCUCUUGGGGAACGUAGCUGCGCUUUAUUGCGUGGGACGGUAUUCAAGACUUUUACUUUGAGGAAAUUAGAGUGUUCACGGCAGGCUAACGCCUUGAAUAUAUUAGCAUGGAAUAAUAAUAUAGGAUCUUGGGUCUAUUUUGUUGGUUUCUAGAACUAGGAUAAUGAUUAAUGGGGAUAAUUGGGGGCAUUCGUAUUAACGCGUCAGAGGUGGAAUUCUUGGAUUGCGUUACGACGAACUACUGCGAAAGCAUUUGCCAAGGAUGUUUUCAUUGAUCAAGAACGAAAGUCAGGGGAUCGAAGAUGAUUAGAUACCGUCGUAGUCUUGACCAUAAACUAUGCCGACUAAAAAUUGGUGGUCGUUUUUUAUCGACUCCAUCAGCGUUUUAUGAGAAAUCAAAGUCUUUGGGUUCCGGGGGGAGUAUGGUCGCAAGGCUGAAACUUAAAGGAAUUGACGGAAGGGCACCACCAGGAGUGGAGCCUGCGGCUUAAUUUGACUCAACACGGGAAAACUUACCAGGUCCAGACAUAGGUAGGAUUGACAGAUU
Molecule: ribosomal RNA, 622 nt
Filed under: uncultured marine eukaryote
Lineage: Eukaryota
Description: SSU rRNA
Rfam family: Eukaryotic small subunit ribosomal RNA
Source: RNAcentral